RNAcentral lists this ribosomal RNA (267 nucleotides) under uncultured bacterium. RNAcentral describes it as "partial 16S ribosomal RNA". It matches the Rfam family "Bacterial small subunit ribosomal RNA", at positions 524 to 790 of the family's 1533-position model. The record is from RNAcentral.
UACGUAGGGUGCGAGCGUUGUCCGGAAUUAUUGGGCGUAAAGGGCUCGUAGGCGGUUUGUCGCGUCGGGAGUGAAAACCUCCAGCUUAACUGGGGGCUUGCUUUCGAUACGGGCAGACUAGAGGUAUGCAGGGGAGAACGGAAUUCCUGGUGUAGCGGUGAAAUGCGCAGAUAUCAGGAGGAACACCGGUGGCGAAGGCGGUUCUCUGGGCAUGAUCUGACGCUGAGGAGCGAAAGUGUGGGGAGCGAACAGGAUUAGAAACCCCCG